AUUGAACGCUGGCGGCAUGCCUUACACAUGCAAGUCGAACGGCAGCGCGGGAGCAAUCCUGGCGGCGAGUGGCGAACGGGUGAGUAAUACAUCGGAACGUGCCCAAUCGUGGGGGAUAACGCAGCGAAAGCUGUGCUAAUACCGCAUACGAUCUACGGAUGAAAGCAGGGGAUCGCAAGACCUUGCGCGAAUGGAGCGGCCGAUGGCAGAUUAGGUAGUUGGUGAGGUAAAGGCUCACCAAGCCUUCGAUCUGUAGCUGGUCUGAGAGGACGACCAGCCACACUGGGACUGAGACACGGCCCAGACUCCUACGGGAGGCAGCAGUGGGGAAUUUUGGACAAUGGGCGAAAGCCUGAUCCAGCCAUGCCGCGUGGAGGAUGAAGGCCUUCGGGUUGUAAACUGCUUUUGUACGGAACGAAACGGUCUUUUCUAAUAAAGAAGGCUAAUGACGGUACCGGAAGAAUAAGCACCGGCUAACUACGUG
Molecule: ribosomal RNA, 484 nt
Filed under: uncultured bacterium
Lineage: Bacteria
Description: partial 16S ribosomal RNA
Rfam family: Bacterial small subunit ribosomal RNA
Source: RNAcentral